This 455-nucleotide small RNA is filed under the name Pongo abelii (Sumatran orangutan). Its description in RNAcentral is "retained intron". The record is from RNAcentral. Lineage: Eukaryota; Metazoa; Chordata; Mammalia; Primates; Hominidae.
CCACACUGAAGGAUGCCUACCUGGAGGUGACACUGCGGCCCCUGGAGGAGGUGUGGCGGGAGCGGGCAGAGGAGGCCAUGCGGCGGCUGCAGGCCUGGGUGCCCGGGAUGCCAGGCAAUGGGGGUCCAAGGCCCAUCAGGGUGGCCCUGGGGGCUGUGAAAGGAGCCCUGGAGCUGGUGAGUGAGAGCAAGGAUGGGGCGUGGCUGGCAGGUGAGGAUGACUGAGCCAGCUCUCACUGUCCCCUCCCUCUCCAGGCCGCCCACCAGAUGCUGUCCUGGGCUGAGGCCACGUUCUCACGGGCACUGAAGAGGUUCUGCAAACCGCUGCUGGACCUGUACAGCCUGUCGGCCAGGAACCGCUCAGUGGUGGUGACGCUGCCACUGUUGCCUGCAGGGGACGAGCCCCUGGACGUGGCCCGGGUGACCAGCUACCUCAUGGAGAAGCUGCUGCGGCCG